UGAGGAGUGCUUUACUUCCAAGUAUGUGGUUAAUUUUGGAAUAGGUGUGGUGUGGUGCUGAAAAAAAUGUAUAUUCUGUUGAUUUGGGGUGGAGAGUUCUGUAGAUGUCUAUUAGGUCCACUUGGUGCAGAGCUGAGUUCAAUUCCUGGGUAUCCUUGUUGACUUUCUGUCUCGUUGAUCUGUCUAAUGUUGAUAGUGGGGUGUUAAAGUCUCCCAUUAUUAAUGUGUGGGAGUCUAAGUCUCUUUGUAGGUCACUCAGGACUUGCUUUAUGAAGCUAGGUGCUCCUGUAUUGGGUGCAUAUAUAUUUAGGAUAGUUAGCUCUUCUUGUUGAAUUGAUCCCUUUACCAUUAUGUAAUGGCCUUCUUUGUGUCUUUUGAUCUUUGUUGGUUUAAAGUCUGUUUUAUCCGAGACUAGGAUUGCAACCCCUGC
Molecule: long non-coding RNA, 430 nt
Filed under: Homo sapiens (human)
Lineage: Eukaryota; Metazoa; Chordata; Mammalia; Primates; Hominidae
Description: HSALNT0370050
Source: RNAcentral